This 475-nucleotide long non-coding RNA is filed under the name Pan troglodytes (chimpanzee). Its description in RNAcentral is "long non-coding RNA NONPTRT017693". Lineage: Eukaryota; Metazoa; Chordata; Mammalia; Primates; Hominidae. The record is from RNAcentral.
GGAGAAUCACUUGAACCCGGUAAGUGGAGGUUGCAGUGAGCCGAGAUCACACCACUGCACUCCAGCCUGGGUGAAAACAUGCACCAGAAAGAACCACACCCCACCCGAGGAAAGACCCGCAUAACAGGCAGAGAUGGGCAGAGGCCGAAGCAGCCAAGGACGUUACCCCCACGGGGCAAAGCUGGAGUGCAGUGGCAGCCAUCAACGGUUCACUGCCCCCUGACCUUCCAGACUCAGGUGAUCCUCCCACCUCAGCCUCCUGGGUAGCAGGGACUGCAGGUGCACACCACCACAUGCAACUAAUUUUUUUUUUUUUUUGUAUUUUUUGUAGAGAUGGGGUCUCAAGCUCCUGGGCUCAAGCAGUCUGCCUGCCUCGUCCUCCCAAAGUGCUAGGUUUGCAGGUGUGAGCCACCACACCUGGCCAGAAAUAGUUCUUUAAAUGGACAUGAAAAAACUUUAAAAGAUUAGAAGACGC